UCCUUAUUUUCCAAUCACAUUUAUGUCCGUAACUUCCGUUCCAGCGUUUGAUCCAAACUUGACCUGUUUUCCCAUUUAUAACAAACCAGGUUGCCUAAAAUCCCAUUCCUAGUUAUCCCAUAAUCAUCCAAGAUAAUUCCUGUGCGUGAUUUUGAAUAAACCACGGGAAAAUCUCACGGGAAAAUCUCACGGGAAAAUCUCACAGGGAUAACUUUCAACCUCACGUUUUUUCACUAUCUGUAUAUUGUUCAGAAUUGGAAUUGGAAAUAAAGUUAAGAUUGAUUGAUUGAUUGAUUGAAUAGUUUAA
This is a long non-coding RNA of Patiria miniata (bat star), 307 nucleotides long. RefSeq lists it as uncharacterized. The record is from RefSeq and is a predicted model, not a curated record. The transcript is spliced from 2 exons. NCBI's taxonomy places the organism in Eukaryota, Metazoa, Echinodermata, Asteroidea, Valvatida, Asterinidae.